RNAcentral lists this ribosomal RNA (193 nucleotides) under uncultured bacterium. RNAcentral's name for it is "partial 16S ribosomal RNA". It matches the Rfam family "Bacterial small subunit ribosomal RNA", at positions 825 to 1014 of the family's 1533-position model. The record is from RNAcentral.
GGGAGUAUCGACCCUCUCUGUGCCGAAGCUAACGCUUUAAGUACCCCGCCUGGGGAGUACGGUCGCAAGACUAAAACUCAAAGGAAUUGACGGGGGCCCGCACAAGCAGCGGAGUGUGUGGUUUAAUUCGAUGCUACACGAAGAACCUCACCAAGGCUUGACAUGUUAGAAGUAGUGAACCGAAAGGGAAACG